This 867-nucleotide long non-coding RNA is filed under the name Drosophila guanche. The record is from RNAcentral. Lineage: Eukaryota; Metazoa; Arthropoda; Insecta; Diptera; Drosophilidae.
GAUCUGCUGGCAAAAACAGUUUUUCCAGAGUAGGUGGCAGCCCAGAGGGUGUUGUUUAGAAUGGAAACUCCUCUGGGAAUUGAAGAAACUUCCGAAGCAGUAAUCCUCGAAGCUCUUAAUUGGACCGAAAACGGCAAAGCACCAGACCCUGACGGGUGGCUAAUGCCGUACUCCGCACAGUUGUUGAGGCAAGUCCACGAAAUGUUGUGGAUCUUUUCGAUGCGUGCAUAUUCGAAAGAAUCCUACCCAGCCUAUCGAAGCGAGAACGGCUUUACAACACAAAUGCAACAAGCCGACCGAGGAGCCACCACAGACUCAUCACUAGACACAGAGGGUAAGAUCGUCGAGUGCGCAAUCCACACAAGGCUGCAGGCAGUUUUAACGUGUUAAAACUCUCACCGCCCACAAAACAUAAUCCACAGAAAUAACAGAACUCCACAAUUACCACUAGUUCAAGCCAGAAGUACCUGGGGGUAAAUAUAGAGCAUAGGCUUAGCUUCCAGCAUCACAUGGCAGUAAAGAAAAGGCGGAAGCUCCUAGACAGUUUUCUUAGCUCGAAGCCCAUGUAUGCGGCACCGAUAAGGAAUAAUGCAUUGAGCUAAGAAACAUAUGCUAGUGAAUGCAACGCUGAACAGAGACUGUGCACCCUGAGAGUGUGCUAUGGAUUCAGAACAAUUUCCCAAGUCGCCGCACUAGUGGUAACCGGACCCUAUCCAUAUGCUGGCAACAGAAGCCGCAGGGAUCAGAUAAUGACCUGGAGACCAGAGGUGUCGCUAGGCAACGCUCAGUACGGCAAUGUCAAGGACAGUAGUAUCAAAGGGCGUUGGACGCAUAUGCUAAUCACUGACCUGUUGAGUUGGUCCGAGC